CCUUUAAAUGAGUAGGUGUGUGCAAACUUUUGACUGGCACUGUACAACUCAAAGUGUGAAAAUGGCAUAUCUUGUUUGUGUCCGCCGGCGAUGGUGAGGGGUACUGGGCCAGUUUUCGAAUACAUUUUCAUUUUAUUUAGCCAGGAUAGUCCACUAACAACUGCCACUGUUUUUUUAGGGAGUCCUGGGUUCCGUUUAAUUAAUAAAAACAUACACAUCACAUAAAAGUUGACUCGAUAAAAACAACACACAUCAUACGCGGUAGCGUACAUACAAAAUGACGCUCACAUAUCCUACUAGAUAUGUGUACAGUUCUUUUGAAGGCAGACAUGCUAGCUAGCUGUCGUGUGGAUAUGUCCAGCUUAUUCCAGAGCAGUGGUCCAAAGAACUGCUGACUGCCUUGGAAGGCCAUGUUUUCCCCUGAUGGUUGUGCCAGCAGGUGUGGGUCCCAUUGGUCAUAGGCUUUGGCUGCUGGCGCGUACUGCUGGCAUCCUCUAGUUUCAGUCUAUUAAUAAACUUGGACUCCGUAGUGAAUAUACCAGUAUAUACCCCAGUAUCAAUCCCACGCUCUUCAUGCCUUCAACCAGAUCAUAUGGGGAAGACCAGCACUGGGGUGACUGGAGAAUAGGCAGGGUUUGGAAAGCGUAGGCAAACCUCAACCACCUCUACUGAAAAUGGCCACCCUGUCCAUAUCAUUAUGAGAACAUGAGGGAAGAACAUGAGCCGUAGAGCUGCAUUCCAGUCUAUUUAGCCUCCAUCGGGUCAGGUCGUUUAACUGGAUGAGUGGCUGUGAACACUAAUACAAGGUACUAUGCAUAACCCUUAACCUGCUCCUAUGUCUUUCAGUUCGGACCUCACAAACGUCUACAGAUGCACCAGAGAGCAUCCUGUCAGGCUGGAUUACUGCAUGAGGACCUGAGCCCUAGAACCAUGCCUCAGGACACCCUGGCUUGAUGACUCCUUGCUGUCUCCAGUCCACCUGGUCGUGUUGCUGUUCCAUUUUCAACUGUUCUGCAUGUGGCUAUGGAACCCUGACCUUGUAUCGGACCUGCUGUUUUCAACUCUCUCUCUCUACCGCACCUGCUGUCUCUAAUUCUGAAUGCUCGGCUAUGAAAAGACAACUGACAUUUACUCCUGAGGUGCUGACCUGUUGCACCCUCUACAACCACUGUGAUUAUUAUUAUUAUUAUACCCUGCUGGUCAUCUAAGAACAAUUGAACAUCUUGGCCAUGUACUGUUAUAAUCUCCACCGGCACAGCCAGAAGAGGACUGGCCACCCCUCAGAGCCUGGUUCCUCUCUAGGUUUCUUCCUAGGUUCCUGCCUUUCUAGGGAGUUUUCCUAGCCACCAUGAUUCUACAUCUGCAUUGCUUGCCGUUUGGGGUUUUAAGGCUAAGUUUCUGUAUAGCACUUUGUGACAUCGGCUGAUAUAAAAAGGGCUUUAUGAAUAAAUUUGAUUGAAAUUU
This is a long non-coding RNA of Salvelinus fontinalis (brook trout), 1464 nucleotides long. RefSeq lists it as uncharacterized. Lineage: Eukaryota; Metazoa; Chordata; Actinopteri; Salmoniformes; Salmonidae. The transcript has 2 exons. The record is from RefSeq and is a predicted model, not a curated record.